CAGUCCCGCGGGAAUACGAGGGGGGCAAGCGUUGUUCGGAAUUAUUGGGCGUAAAGGGUGCGUAGGCGGUUUGGCAAGUUUGGUGUGAAAUCUUCGGGCUCAACUCGAAGUCUGCAUCGAAAACUGCCGGGCUUGAGUAUGGGAGAGGUGAGUGGAAUUUCCGGUGUAGCGGUGAAAUGCGUAGAUAUCGGAAGGAACACCUGUGGCGAAAGCGGCUCACUGGACCAUAACUGACGCUGAUGCACGAAAGCUAGGGGAGCAAACAGGAUUAGAGACCCCGGUAGUCCCUGUCUCUUAUACC
Molecule: ribosomal RNA, 301 nt
Filed under: uncultured bacterium
Lineage: Bacteria
Description: partial 16S ribosomal RNA
Rfam family: Bacterial small subunit ribosomal RNA
Source: RNAcentral